ACCAUCAUCGUCUAGUGGUUUAGGAUACCAGGUUUUCAUAUACAUAGAGAUUUUCUGGGGACCGGAGUUCGAACCUCGUGAUGGUG
Molecule: transfer RNA, 86 nt
Filed under: Xylaria bambusicola
Lineage: Eukaryota; Fungi; Ascomycota; Sordariomycetes; Xylariales; Xylariaceae
Description: tRNA-Glu
Rfam family: tRNA
About the family: Transfer RNA (tRNA) molecules are approximately 80 nucleotides in length. Their secondary structure includes four short double-helical elements and three loops (D, anti-codon, and T loops).
Source: RNAcentral